RNAcentral lists this ribosomal RNA (230 nucleotides) under uncultured microorganism. Its description in RNAcentral is "partial 16S ribosomal RNA". It matches the Rfam family "Bacterial small subunit ribosomal RNA", at positions 524 to 753 of the family's 1533-position model. The record is from RNAcentral.
UACGUAGGUGGCAAGUGUUGUCCGGAAUUAUUGGGCGUAAAGCGCGCGCAGGCGGUCUCUUAAGUCUGAUGUGAAAGCCCAUGGCUCAACCAUGGAUGGUCAUUGGAAACUGGGAGACUUGAGUACAGAAGAGGAGAGUGGAAUUCCACGUGUAGCGGUGAAAUGCGUAGAUAUGUGGAGGAACACCAGUGGCGAAGGCGACUCUCUGGUCUGUAACUGACGCUGAGGCG